This 460-nucleotide ribosomal RNA is filed under the name uncultured bacterium. RNAcentral's name for it is "partial 16S ribosomal RNA". It matches the Rfam family "Bacterial small subunit ribosomal RNA", at positions 338 to 795 of the family's 1533-position model. The record is from RNAcentral.
CCUACGGGGGGCAGCAGUGAGGAAUAUUGGUCAAUGGACGAGAGUCUGAACCAGCCAAGUAGCGUGAAGGAUGACUGCCCUAUGGGUUGUAAACUUCUUUUAUAUGGGAAUAAAAUGUUCCACGUGUGGGAUUUUGUAUGUACCAUAUGAAUAAGGAUCGGCUAACUCCGUGCCAGCAGCCGCGGUAAUACGGAGGAUCCGAGCGUUAUCCGGAUUUAUUGGGUUUAAAGGGAGCGUAGGUGGAUUGUUAAGUCAGUUGUGAAAGUUUGCGGCUCAACCGUAAAAUUGCAGUUGAUACUGGCAGUCUUGAGUACAGUAGAGGUGGGCGGAAUUCGUGGUGUAGCGGUGAAAUGCUUAGAUAUCACGAAGAACUCCGAUUGCGAAGGCAGUUCACUGGACUGCAACUGACACUGAGGCUCGAAAGUGUGGGUAUCAAACAGGAUUAGAUACCCCUGUAGUC